RNAcentral lists this ribosomal RNA (431 nucleotides) under Acanthamoeba sp. RNAcentral's name for it is "SSU rRNA". It matches the Rfam family "Eukaryotic small subunit ribosomal RNA", at positions 750 to 1123 of the family's 1831-position model. Lineage: Eukaryota; Discosea; Longamoebia; Acanthamoebidae. The record is from RNAcentral.
UGGCCCAGAUYGUUUACCGUGAAAAAAUUAGAGUGUUCAAAGCAGGCAGACAUUAAUCUCUGCCACCGAAUACAUUAGCAUGGGAUAAUGGAAUAGGACCCUGUCCUCCUAUUUUCAGUUGGUUUUCGAGGACCAGGGUAAUGAUUAAUAGGGAUAGUUGGGGGCAUUAAUAUUUAAUUGUCAGAGGUGAAAUUCUUGGAUUUAUGAAAGAUUAACUUCUGCGAAAGCAUCUGCCAAGGAUGUUUUCAUUAAUCAAGAACGAAAGUUAGGGGAUCGAAGACGAUCAGAUACCGUCGUAGUCUUAACCAUAAACGAUGCCGACCAGCGAUUAGGAGACGUUGAAUACAAAACACCACCAUCAGGCGGGUCGUUCCUGGCUAAUUCUCGCGCAAGCGGGGGUUGGUGGGAGCGAUUCGUUGCCKAKACCCCYG